This 395-nucleotide ribosomal RNA is filed under the name uncultured bacterium. Its description in RNAcentral is "bacterial SSU rRNA". The record is from RNAcentral.
GGCCUAACACAUGCAAGUCGAGCGGGCCCUUCGGGGAUCAGAGGAGAGGUGUUAAUACGUGUGGAUAUAUCCCCACGUGGUGCGGAAUAUCUCAGAGGAAGCUAUGCAACUACUACCAUGAUACCCCCUAUGUGGGGAAUGGAUCGCUGUCGAAUGAUCCGGCCUCGUAUGAUCAACUAGUUGGUGUGGUGGUGGACCACCGCGGCGAUCAGCAGCAGCUGGUAUAAGAUGAUCAUCCACCUCGCUAUGACUAAAACGCCGACCAUACUCCUACAGGAAGCAGCGGUAGUGAAUAUCGGACGGCGCGCGCCUGACUCAUCCAUGCAUGCUGAGUGAUUAAUGACUGCCUGAUGGUUGUCUCUCUCUCCCGUCAGGAACGAUACUGACGGUACCGA